RNAcentral lists this ribosomal RNA (253 nucleotides) under uncultured bacterium. Its description in RNAcentral is "partial 16S ribosomal RNA". It matches the Rfam family "Bacterial small subunit ribosomal RNA", at positions 524 to 776 of the family's 1533-position model. The record is from RNAcentral.
UACGGAGGGUGCGAGCGUUGUCCGGAAUCACUGGGCGUAAAGGGCGCGUAGGCGGCUGAUUUAGUCGAGGGUGAAAGCCCGUGGCUCAACCACGGAAUGGCCUUCGAUACUGGUUGGCUUGAGACCGGAAGAGGACAGCGGAACUGCGAGUGUAGAGGUGAAAUUCGUAGAUAUUCGCAAGAACACCAGUGGCGAAGGCGGCUGUCUGGUCCGGUUCUGACGCUGAGGCGCGAAAGCGUGGGGAGCAAACAGG